UCUAGCUUGCAGUUGUGAAAUUAAAGUGACGAAUUGAGAAGAAAUUGCAAAGAUAUUCACAAAUAAUAUAAAAAUUGCAAAAGUAAUUAACAUUCUGAAGGAAUUUUGAAACAAAGAGCUUUAAGACAAUGUUGAAAAACACUUUCAAAAGGAAAGCAUUUCAAGCUAUAAAUGUGACGGAAAACUCUUCGGAACCGCCCGUACAAGUUGAUGAGCAAAUUAACGGUUUAAAAUCUAGAAUAGACAAGCUCGAAGAAACAAUAAAUAAGCAGAACGAACUGAUAAUGGGAGAACUUGCUUCCAUUAGUAUUUGCCUUCGCCAACUUGUAUCUCGCAAAGAAAAUGACAACUUGAGGAAGAUGUUUCCUAUUGAGACGGAAGAGGAGUUAAUAAAUUUAUAAAACAUUGAAAAUGUGGACGAGAAUGAAUUGAUCGCUACUGUCGGCCGCGUUACAAAAAAAAGGAGGCCUAGCCAAAAAUUUGCAUCACCUGCUUGGACCUAAUAUAAUACAAAGCUAUAAUUUUGAUGGUUUUCAAAAUAAGAAAUCAGAAAGAGCAUACAAAGAUAAACAACAUUUUUUACAAAGCGUGCGCAAGAAAUAUCACCACCCCUGAUGAGUAUAAAUCGGAAAUAAAGAGCGGUUUCAAGAAAGCCAAAAGUCGGAUUUACAAGGAGAAGCAUUUUCAAAAUAAGAAAUCAAACUAAUCUUUGAAAAUUUCCCUAUAAAAACGCAUACCUUAAAACUUUUACUUUUUAACUUUAACUUUUUUGGAAGUUUCAGAAUGAUUUUGUCCAUAAUUACAAAAAUUACUGAAUUGAUCAAUAUAUUUAAUUAAUCACUUUGAAAAAUAUCUGUAUACAUAAAUAUGUAUUACGUAUAUGUAAGUAAGAUGCAUACAGUAACUCACAUAAUUGUUCACAUGGUGAUAUUUUACAAUAUUUACCAAGGGUAAUAUAUGCACCGGAUUGUGGGUAUGGUCUUGCAUAUGAAUAUUUCGGUGCAUCUGCAAAUACUGUUGUAUUGUGUACAUUUAGAACAAUAAAAUUUGCAAAUGCACAAAAAUAUGGACAUGCAA
Long non-coding RNA from Rhagoletis zephyria (snowberry fruit fly), 1077 nucleotides. RefSeq lists it as uncharacterized. Lineage: Eukaryota; Metazoa; Arthropoda; Insecta; Diptera; Tephritidae. The record is from RefSeq and is a predicted model, not a curated record.